ACUCAAAUGAAUUGACGGGGACCCGCACAAGCGGUGGAGCAUGUUGUUUAAUUCGACGCAACGCGAAGAACCUUACCUACGCUUGACAUGUCUAGUUUGGUUAUCAGAGAUGAUUUCCUUCAGUUCGGCUGGCUAGAACACAGGUGCUGCAUGGCUGUCGUCAGCUCGUGUCGUGAGAUGUUGGGUUAAGUCCCGCAACGAGCGCAACCCUUAUUGUUAGUUGCCAUCAUUUAGUUGGGCACUCUAGUGAGACUGCCGGUGAUAAGCCGGAGGAAGGUGGGGACGACGUCAAGUCAUCAUGGCCCUUACGCGUAGGGCUACAAACGUGCUACAAUGGUAGUGACAGUGGGCUGCGAGGCAGUGAUGCCAAGCAAAUCCUUAAAAGCUAUCUCAGUUCGGAUUGUACUCUGCAACUCGAGUACAUGAAGUUGGAAUCGCUAGUAAUCGUGGAUCAGCAUGCCACGGUGAAUACGUUCCCGGGUCUUGCACACACCGCCCGU
RNAcentral lists this ribosomal RNA (500 nucleotides) under uncultured bacterium. RNAcentral's name for it is "partial 16S ribosomal RNA". It matches the Rfam family "Bacterial small subunit ribosomal RNA", at positions 899 to 1397 of the family's 1533-position model. The record is from RNAcentral.